UACGUAGGGUCCGAGCGUUGUUCGGAAUUACUGGGCGUAAAGGGCGCGUAGGCGGUGUGUCAAGUCAGGCGUGAAAGCCCCGGGCUCAACCUGGGAACCGCGCUUGAGACUGGCACGCUCGAGUUCGGGAGAGGAUGGUGGAAUUCCCAGUGUAGAGGUGAAAUUCGUAGAUAUUGGGAAGAACACCGAUGGCGAAGGCAGCCAUCUGGACCGACACUGACGCUGAGGCGCGAAAGCGUGGGGAGCAAACAGG
Molecule: ribosomal RNA, 253 nt
Filed under: uncultured bacterium
Lineage: Bacteria
Description: partial 16S ribosomal RNA
Rfam family: Bacterial small subunit ribosomal RNA
Source: RNAcentral